GGGGACGUGGUGAAAUUGGCAGACACGCAGCGUUCAGGGCGCUGUGAGCGCAAGCUCAUGAGAGUUCAAGUCUCUCCGUCCCCA
This 84-nucleotide transfer RNA is filed under the name Candidatus Sungiibacteriota bacterium. Its description in RNAcentral is "Candidatus Sungbacteria bacterium tRNA-Leu". It matches the Rfam family "tRNA". Rfam says of the family: Transfer RNA (tRNA) molecules are approximately 80 nucleotides in length. The record is from RNAcentral. Lineage: Bacteria; Candidatus Sungiibacteriota.